UUCCUGCAGUUUCUCGAACAGUUAUGUUAGAAAAUAUUGGCACUGAACCAGUACCUUUUUAGUCCUUGUGCAGGAACAACGAGCCCAUUCAUUUCAAUGGAGGGGAAGGGUUGUGAAGGACAGAGUGGGCUGGACCUUCGGUUUUUUGGGCCAUGGACAGUUUUGACAAUGCUGAAAAAUUUGCAAGUCAUAGUUAUCAGAAAGCUGCUGGAUACCCCAUGCUCAUAGGUUUUCUGUACAACCUUGGCCUUCAGCAGAUUAUCCUGAAUCUCACAACAUGCCUGAAAACUACAGCAGAAGACAAUUACUACUGGACCAAUGCGAAACUUAUAUUGUACACAAAAACAAACAUUUGUGCAAAAUUAGUCAUCAAGUUUUGUACAAUGUUAAUUACCAAACAUUGCACUUACACCUACAUUUUAUGUUUUUUGAACUCUUAAAAUGUCAUUUCUACCCACAUAUAGACUGUUCCCCUUUUCGCUAGAUAAUAUGUUUCAUAGUAUGCAUACUCAAAUCUAAUAAUUACUGUAUCUAUUCACUAGUAUCAUGCGCAUGAGAACUUCACUGCAUAUUUUAGUUUUUUGUCAGUCUGGGAAGUGACAUUUUGAGUUUUUUUAAUGCAGGCUAAAAGCAUUUAUCAAUUUAUUUAAAACUAAAUAUUUCAGAGGAACAAAGCCAUCAGUCACUCUUGUAAAUAAAAGAGGAAAUGUGUAGAGCUAUGUAACAAAAAGCAGGGAAAUGGGACUAAUUAGAUACAUCUUUAAAAGAGUCAAUAGAUACAUGAACAUUCUCUUUCUUGCUGUACUGUUCUCUGAUACUAGAAAAUAAACUA
Long non-coding RNA from Pristis pectinata (smalltooth sawfish), 832 nucleotides. RefSeq lists it as uncharacterized. The record is from RefSeq and is a predicted model, not a curated record. The transcript is spliced from 3 exons. NCBI's taxonomy places the organism in Eukaryota, Metazoa, Chordata, Chondrichthyes, Rhinopristiformes, Pristidae.